AGGCUCAGUAGUUGUGGCGCACGGGCUUAGCUGCUCCACCGCAUGUGGGAUCUUCCCGGACCAGGGAUCAAACCCAUGUCCCCUGCACUGGCAGGCGGAUUCUUAACCACUGUGCCACCAGGGAGGCCUGUUAACCCCCUUUAAAGAGAAACUUUAAAAAAUUUACUGAAGCAUAAUGUUGAUGUUGUAACUGUUAAAGAGAGAGACCAAAUUUAU
This is a long non-coding RNA of Orcinus orca (killer whale), 216 nucleotides long. RefSeq lists it as uncharacterized. The record is from RefSeq and is a predicted model, not a curated record. The transcript is spliced from 2 exons. Lineage: Eukaryota; Metazoa; Chordata; Mammalia; Artiodactyla; Delphinidae.